This 253-nucleotide ribosomal RNA is filed under the name uncultured bacterium. RNAcentral describes it as "partial 16S ribosomal RNA". It matches the Rfam family "Bacterial small subunit ribosomal RNA", at positions 524 to 776 of the family's 1533-position model. The record is from RNAcentral.
UACGUAGGGUGCAAGCGUUGUCCGGAAUUAUUGGGCGUAAAGAGCUCGUAGGCGGUUUGUCGCGUCGAAUGUGAAAACCCGGGGCUCAACCCCGGGCCUGCAUUCGAUACGGGCAGACUAGAGUUCGGUAGGGGAGUCUGGAAUUCCUGGUGUAGCGGUGAAAUGCGCAGAUAUCUGGAAGAACACCAGCGGCGAAGGCGGUCAACUGGCCCAUAACUGACGCUCAGGCACGAAAGCGUGGGUAGCAAACAGG